UGGGUAGUAUCUGUAAGGAACUGCACCUUAAUUGUUUAUAGUUUUUUUAUUCAUUGCUUACAUCUAUAUAGAGUAAGACAAUAAG
This is a regulatory RNA element of Clostridium collagenovorans DSM 3089, 85 nucleotides long. It matches the Rfam family "pan motif". The record is from Rfam. NCBI's taxonomy places the organism in Bacteria, Bacillati, Bacillota, Clostridia, Eubacteriales, Clostridiaceae.